This 1025-nucleotide long non-coding RNA is filed under the name Gadus morhua (Atlantic cod). RNAcentral's name for it is "lncRNA (ENSGMOG00000029638.1)". The record is from RNAcentral. Lineage: Eukaryota; Metazoa; Chordata; Actinopteri; Gadiformes; Gadidae.
AGCAGCCCUCACCGGGGUGUCCGUCCGGCCUUAGGGUAAGGCCGGACGAUGUCCGGGCUGAACUUAACAGCCUCUCCCUCAGGCCGGACAGCUUCGUCAGGCCCGGCAGCUCGAUCAGUGUUCCUACCUGAAGUGGCACCUGGAGAAGCGCUGACCUCGUCACCCGAAGCCUGGGGAGGAGGACGGUCUGUGGAAUAGGCUCCGGCGAAGUCCUUUUCCUCAAACGCAGAGGGGUUAAAAGGCCAGAUCCCUGGACUUGAGAACCCGGAGGUAAUGUUGUUCACUGUCGCAGCCUUUGGUAAGGCUUCAGCAACGAUGGAGGGCACAUCAUAAAUUGAGAUGUUUAUCCCUGGGUGUCUCCUCAUCCACCUGUCCGCCGCACUGUUUACGUACCCCUUUAGGGGGCCGAAGACACUAAUGUCCAUUGGCUGCAACCUGUGGGUGCAGUGGGGAGGGAAUGACAGCAGCACUAUGCCAUUGGCUCUGCAGUAAUCAAUUGCUGCAAUUGACAGGUGGGACGGGUGAUUGUCCAGCAGGAGGAGCAGCUUCGACUCCUUGGACACACGGGUGUGCCUGGUCAAGUGGGCCAGGUACAGGAGGAAGUCUGGCUCCUUCAUCCAGCCAGUUGGGUUGCCGCUGCCAGCACAGCCAACGGGUCCAGGAAGUGGUCUUUGAACCGCUUACGGGGGAAGAUGAAGAAUGGCGGAACAAGGUCGCCCUGCGCAUUGCCUGCCAGGGCAACUGUGACCAGGGUCCCCCUCUCUGCUGAGGUCACUGACCCGACCUGCUUCUGCCCCAUCUGGGUGACGACACGGUCUGGCACCUGGACAGUGGUGACCCCUGUAAAUAGUUGUCUGGACAACCGUUGUUGGCUAGUGGCCUCUGGACGCCGAAGGGAGAGGCUGCCACUGCGCUCCAUGAAGGAGGUGAACCAGUCCUUCCCCGCCAUGCUCUUCCUCGACCAGGAUGCAGGGAAAGGGCAGCUGAAGUGCACUGCCAGCUCAAAGGCAAAUUUUCUGACCUGA